CAGCCUUCUUUUCGUCCGUUUGGAGGAUCCAACAGCUGGAUCCUUCGCAGCCCCAGGUAUCCCGACAUUCAUUGCGCGCCGGUUGAUUGUCCCAGCGUAAAUAAUGGCGUCGAUUGUGGCUGUGGAGUUGAGCCCCCCCGAAUUUUACCUAUAAAUGGAGCAAGGAGCAAACUGCCCUCUUUAUUAAAUUGAGGGGGGAGAGCGACCACCUCUUCACCUGGGCAAAGAUUUCUGCCAACGUGGCUUGGAGGAGUGCAAGUGUCCAGGGUCAGGAGAGGGUGUAGGGGGGAAGCCCACAGCUGCAACUUGGCCCUGGUUUGUCCUCAUGGAUGAGGUGUUGGGACAGAGGCAUUCCACCACCCCACCUGUCGUAAUUGCCUCUAUCCCUGAGGACACACCAGGGCCAAGUGCUGCAGUGGGUGACCAGGAGGAGGAAGAGGAGGAGGAGGAGAGCCAGCCGAGAAAGAGAAAGAGGGACAAAGAGGAUGAGCUGCUUCAGCUACUGAAGAAAGACAUGAAGUUGCAGAGAGAGGCAGAGGAGAGGAGAGCACAGGAGAGCAGAGGGAGGAUGGACAGGCUGUUCUCUCUACUAGAGAGACUGGCCGAAUAAUAAAUAAAUAAAUCCUUAAAUAA
Molecule: long non-coding RNA, 633 nt
Organism: Micropterus dolomieu (smallmouth bass)
Lineage: Eukaryota; Metazoa; Chordata; Actinopteri; Centrarchiformes; Centrarchidae
Exons: 3
Source: RefSeq, a predicted model, not a curated record